Molecule: ribosomal RNA, 424 nt
Filed under: uncultured bacterium
Lineage: Bacteria
Description: bacterial SSU rRNA
Rfam family: Bacterial small subunit ribosomal RNA
Source: RNAcentral
UGAGGAAUAUUGGACAAUGGGCGGAAGCCUGAUCCAGCCAUGCCGCGUGCAGGAAGACUGCCCUAUGGGUUGUAAACUGCUUUUGUACGGGAAGAAACCCUCCUACGUGUAGGGGGCUGACGGUACCGUAAGAAUCAGCAUCGGCUAACUCCGUGCCAGCAGCCGCGGUAAUACGGAGGAUGCAAGCGUUAUCCGGAAUCAUUGGGUUUAAAGGGUCCGUAGGUGGAUUGAUAAGUCAGAGGUGAAAUCCUGCAGCUCAACUGUAGAACUGCCUUUGAAACUGUUGAUCUUGAAUUAUUGUGAAGUAGUUAGAAUAUGUAGUGUAGCGGUGAAAUGCAUAGAUAUUACAUAGAAUACCGAUUGCGAAGGCAGAUUACUAACAAUAUAUUGACACUGAUGGACGAAAGCGUGGGGAGCGAACAGG